RNAcentral lists this ribosomal RNA (465 nucleotides) under Vreelandella stevensii. RNAcentral describes it as "partial 16S ribosomal RNA". It matches the Rfam family "Bacterial small subunit ribosomal RNA", at positions 338 to 795 of the family's 1533-position model. The record is from RNAcentral. Lineage: Bacteria; Pseudomonadati; Pseudomonadota; Gammaproteobacteria; Oceanospirillales; Halomonadaceae.
CCUACGGGAGGCAGCAGUGGGGAAUGUUGGACAAUGGGGGCAACCCUGAUCCAGCCAUGCCGCGUGUGUGAAGAAGGCCCUCGGGUUGUAAAGCACUUUCAGUGAGGAAGAACGCCUGGUGGUUAAUACCCAUCAGGAAAGACAUCACUCACAGAAGAAGCACCGGCUAACUCCGUGCCAGCAGCCGCGGUAAUACGGAGGGUGCGAGCGUUAAUCGGAAUUACUGGGCGUAAAGCGCGCGUAGGUGGCUUGAUAAGCCGGUUGUGAAAGCCCCGGGCUCAACCUGGGAACGGCAUCCGGAACUGUCAAGCUAGAGUGCAGGAGAGGAAGGUAGAAUUCCCGGUGUAGCGGUGAAAUGCGUAGAGAUCGGGAGGAAUACCAGUGGCGAAGGCGGCCUUCUGGACUGACACUGACACUGAGGUGCGAAAGCGUGGGUAGCAAACAGGAUUAGAUACCCUGGUAGUC